GAGUUUGAUUAUGGCUCAGGACAAACGCUGGCGGCGUGCAUAACACAUGCAAGUCGAACGAAAUCUACAUGAUUUAGUGGCGAACGGGUGAGUAACACGUGAGAAACCUGCCUUACACAGAGGGAUAGCCGUUGGAAACGACGAUUAAUACCUCAUGACACCGUGACAUCGCAUGAUGAUGCGGUCAAAGAUUUAUCGGUGUAAGAUGGUCUCGCGCCUGAUUAGCUGGUUGGUGGGGUAACGGCCUACCAAGGCGACGAUCAGUAGCCGAUCUGAGAGGGUGGACGGCCACAUUGGGACUGAGACACGGCCCAAACUCCUACGGGAGGCACGCAGUGGGGAAUUUUGCACAAUGGGGGAAACCCCUGAUGCAGCGACGCCNCGUGAAGCGAAGAAGGCCUUCGGGUUGUAAAGUUCUGUCCCUUGGUGAAGAUAAUGACCGUACCAGAGANG
This 453-nucleotide ribosomal RNA is filed under the name Helcococcus sp. canine oral taxon 069. RNAcentral describes it as "bacterial SSU rRNA". It matches the Rfam family "Bacterial small subunit ribosomal RNA", at positions 9 to 486 of the family's 1533-position model. The record is from RNAcentral. Lineage: Bacteria; Bacillati; Bacillota; Tissierellia; Tissierellales; Peptoniphilaceae.